AGUGAACGCUGGCGGUAGGCCUAACACAUGCCAGUCGAACGGCAGCACAGUAAGAGCUUGCUCUUACGGGUGGCGAGUGGCGGACGGGUGAGGAAUACAUCGGAAUCUACUUUUUCGUGGGGGAUAACGUAGGGAAACUUACGCUAAUACCGCAUACGACCUACGGGUGAAAGCAGGGGAUCUUCGGACCUUGCGCGAUUGAAUGAGCCGAUGUCGGAUUAGCUAGUUGGCGGGGUAAAGGCCCACCAAGGCGACGAUCCGUAGCUGGUCUGAGAGGAUGAUAAGCCACACUGGAACUGAGACACGGUCCAGACUCCUACGGGAGGCAGCAGUGGGGAAUAUUGGACGAUGGGCGCAAGCCUGAUCCAGCCAUACCGCGUGGGUGAAGAAGGCCUUCGGGUUGUAAAGCCCUUUUGUUGGGAAAGAAAAGCAGCAGGUUAAUACCCCGCUGUUCUGACGGUACCCAAAGAAUAAGCACCGGCUAACUUCGUG
RNAcentral lists this ribosomal RNA (492 nucleotides) under uncultured bacterium. Its description in RNAcentral is "partial 16S ribosomal RNA". It matches the Rfam family "Bacterial small subunit ribosomal RNA", at positions 29 to 507 of the family's 1533-position model. The record is from RNAcentral.